ACUUACUUAGUUUAAAAAACAUUUUGUUUUCAGUAAAAAAAAAGAUAAAAAUCUAGUAGGUU
RNAcentral lists this transfer RNA (62 nucleotides) under Sophonia linealis. Its description in RNAcentral is "tRNA-Glu". RNAcentral also lists the same sequence under 1 other name. The record is from RNAcentral. Lineage: Eukaryota; Metazoa; Arthropoda; Insecta; Hemiptera; Cicadellidae.